This is a long non-coding RNA of Podarcis raffonei (Aeolian wall lizard), 500 nucleotides long. RefSeq lists it as uncharacterized. Lineage: Eukaryota; Metazoa; Chordata; Lepidosauria; Squamata; Lacertidae. The record is from RefSeq and is a predicted model, not a curated record. The transcript has 3 exons.
AGGAUAAAGUGUCAACCUAAUUCCUUAGAGUUCCAGCAGCACUAAUUAAGCAGAGUCGCAGAGUGAAUCAUAGCAGUGGAGACCCUGGUGGGAAUCUCCUCAUCUUUACCACCAGCAGGGUACCCUCCCCAUUCAUCUUGAGGCACCUGGUACAGUAUAUUACAACAAGCACAAAAGAGAAAUAAAUCUCAUCUUGCCAUGGAACCCUUUUAAGAACAAACAUUUAUGAUGAAGAAGGAAUAAGCAUUCGUCAUUACAUAAAAGAGACAGUUUUAAUCGGGCCGUUAAGAUCAGCAGCAAAAAUCUGUCUACAUGCACUGAAAAUCAUCAAAGUGCCUUUUAGCUUGUAUAAAUAGUUAUUGGUGCCUAAAAUUCCCAUCUGAAGAGUUUGCAUCUGCUAACUGGGAAUAAUUACUCUAAUUACCUACUUGUAACAAGUGUUGAUAUCUAUAAUUUCUUUAAAAAGCCAUUUCCUGUUCCAGAUAUUAAAUCUAUAUAUA